This 844-nucleotide ribosomal RNA is filed under the name uncultured Bacteroidota bacterium. RNAcentral describes it as "bacterial SSU rRNA". It matches the Rfam family "Bacterial small subunit ribosomal RNA", at positions 31 to 869 of the family's 1533-position model. The record is from RNAcentral. Lineage: Bacteria; Pseudomonadati; Bacteroidota.
GAACGCUAGCUACAGCUUAACACAUGCAAGUCGAGGGGCAGCAUGGAAGAAGCUUGCUUCUUCUGAUGGCGACCGGCGCACGGGUGCGUAACGCGUAUCAAACCUGCCUCAUACUCGGGGAUAGCCUUGCGAAAGUAAGAUUAAUACCCGAUGUUGUUAUGUUACCGCAUGGUGAUAUAACCAAAGAUUUAUCGGUAUGAGAUGGUGAUGCGUCCGAUUAGGUAGUAGGCGGGGUAACGGCCCACCUAGCCUUCGAUCGGUAGGGGUUCUGAGAGGAAGGUCCCCCACACUGGAACUGAGACACGGUCCAGACUCCUACGGGAGGCAGCAGUGAGGAAUAUUGGUCAAUGGACGCAAGUCUGAACCAGCCAAGUAGCGUGCAGGAUGACGGCCCUCUGGGUUGUAAACUGCUUUUAGUUGGGAAUAAAAAAGAGGACGUGUCCUCUAUUGUAUGUACCUUCAGAAAAAGGACCGGCUAAUUCCGUGCCAGCAGCCGCGGUAAUACGGAAGGUCCAGGCGUUAUCCGGAUUUAUUGGGUUUAAAGGGAGCGUAGGCGGAUUAUUAAGUCAGUGGUGAAAGACGGUGGCUCAACCAUCGUUAGCCAUUGAAACUGGUAGUCUUGAGUGCAGACAGGGAUGCUGGAACUCGUGGUGUAGCGGUGAAAUGCUUAGAUAUCACGAUGAACUCCGAUCGCGAAGGCAGGUGUCCGGGCUGCAACUGACGCUGAGGCUCGAAAGUGUGGGUAUCAAACAGGAUUAGAUACCCUGGUAGUCCACACAGUAAACGAUGUAUACUCGCGGUUUGCGAUAGAAUGUAAGCCGCCAAGCGAAAGCAUUAAGUAUAC